UAUGUAUUACGUGGUCCCCAUCAUACCUCAAGCUAUCUGUUUGAUUUCAGCUCUCCGAUACUUACUUCUUGAGCACCCAGCAGCUUUGAUGGCACUAACUCCCAUUCUGUUCAGACAGAUGAGCAAUUCUCUGGGCAUGUCAGUAAAUAUUCCAGAGGUAAUUAAGAUAUAGCUGUCUCCACAGCUUCCUAUGCUCCAGACCCACGUUCAGACAUUGAAAUACCUACAUGACUUGCCACUGAGAAGGAAACUAACCCCCUAAUCAAUAUAAUGUGCACACUUCAGCCUCCAUCAGACCCCCCAGCUUACUGACGUGAUAUCCUGUACCACUGGUAAGAACACAAAAACCUGAUAUAAUGGGAAGCACAUCAGAAAACAGUUCAAGGAUAUAUGAGAACAAAACAAACUCUCUUCUACCAUUAUUUUUUUUUCUGAAAUCAGUCAGAUUGGGUCAACUGUUUCAGAUUCUCCAUUACCACAUCUUUGUAAGUAGUCCUGUAACUGCAAGCUCCUCAUUAUUUCAUUUUAUGCAUUACUUCCUUUCACAGCCAUUUCUGCAGAACUAGGGACUCAGUUCAACUGAAAAACUCACAGCCAGCACAAGAGCAUUAACUUCUCUAGACCUGCUUCCUUCCUGACCUCACUGCUUAUUUGGCUGCAAAAGAACUGGAACUGUGCUUUUCAAAAAGAUCUGCUCCUGACCUCUGUUUUUAUCUCUGUAUCUCACCCUGAACAAACAACAGGAGUCAUACCUACUUAAGCAAGCCACACAAAAGUCAGAGGGCUUUCCUGCACAUCUGGCUAGCUUAUGCAGGCUUCCCUGGGGAAAAGGAAUCAAGAAGGCUGUGUUUUUCAGUUUCUCAAGAAACAGAAGAUUGAACACCAGGCUUUUCUGAGCAGAAAGAAGUAAAGGUCUGAUGCUGAAAACUACCACCCACCCAAACAGCAAUGGGGUUGCUACAGGCAACAGCUUUGCUGGAGACAGGGCUAAGAUACUGGGAAACAUGCGCUGCUGACACUUGCCCCAGGAGAGUAAUCACCAGUCACCUCCUGCAGGCCCUGUAGUCCACAGGCACACCAUACACAUGGUACUGCAACUGGCUUUAUCACAAGCAAUAACCCUUUUGCUGUCUAACAUGCACCUCAUCAUUACAAGUCUUACAGCAGUUCACACGUGGCACACAGCACAUUAGACACUAUGGGAUUGCACUAAGUUUCUCCUCCUGCAGCACCUCUCUGCUUCUGCUAAUGCUUCAGGUAUUGCUUGGUGACUGCUAGUUACUAAAAAUAAAAGGUUUGUUUGACCUGCUUUCUGGGAGGAAACAGAAACUACACAGAUUAGCCUAACAGUAGCUCUCCAUGUCCACCUGUCCAUCCCACCUUAGUUUUUGUGUGUACUGACCAAUUAAAUCUAGAUUGUCUCAACAGAGAGAGACUCCACUGAAGUGUCUGCAAAAAGACGAGGGCAUAAGUCUGAUACUAGAAAACUCCCACAGAAACAAGUGUUCUGUAAUAAAAGAAGUUCCCACAAAACUCCUUAUCCUCUUCAAAAAACAAAUAUGAUAGCAAUAAAAUAUAAAAUUU
Molecule: non-coding RNA, 1584 nt
Organism: Coturnix japonica (Japanese quail)
Lineage: Eukaryota; Metazoa; Chordata; Aves; Galliformes; Phasianidae
Source: RefSeq, a predicted model, not a curated record